AGUGAACGCUGGCGGUAGGCCUAACACAUGCAAGUCGAACGGCAGCACAGUAAGAGCUUGCUCUUACGGGUGGCGAGUGGCGGACGGGUGAGGCAUACAUCGGAAUCUACUUUUUCGUGGGGGAUAACGUAGGGAAACUUACGCUAAUACCGCAUACGACCUACGGGUGAAAGCAGGGGAUCUUCGGACCUUGCGCGAUUGAAUGGGCCGAUGUCGGAUUAGCUAGUUGGCGGGGUAAAGGCCCACCAAGGCGACGAUGCGUAGCUGGUCUGAGAGGAUGAUCAGCCACACUGGAACUGAGACACGGUCCAGACUCCUACGGGAGGCAGCAGUGGGGAAUAUUGGACAAUGGGCGCAAGCCUGAUCCAGCCAUACCGCGUGAGUGAAGAAGGCCUUCGGGUUGUAAAGCCCUUUUGUUGGGAAAGAAAAGCAGCAUGUUAAUACCCCGCUGUUCUGACGGUACCCAAAGAAUAAGCACCGGCUAACUUCGUG
RNAcentral lists this ribosomal RNA (492 nucleotides) under uncultured bacterium. RNAcentral's name for it is "partial 16S ribosomal RNA". It matches the Rfam family "Bacterial small subunit ribosomal RNA", at positions 29 to 507 of the family's 1533-position model. The record is from RNAcentral.